Molecule: long non-coding RNA, 39010 nt
Filed under: Eutrema salsugineum
Lineage: Eukaryota; Viridiplantae; Streptophyta; Magnoliopsida; Brassicales; Brassicaceae
Description: long non-coding RNA (ESAL_LNC001899)
Rfam family: mir-172 microRNA precursor family (bases 22577-22693)
Source: RNAcentral
AUAUUAUUCCUUCUACGAAAUUAUCCAAGUAUAAAAUUGCAGUACUUUCACCGAGCCGGAGGUAUUCAUCAACCACUUCAGCCGCACAACCAUAUGCCAUCAUAUGAAUUGCUGCUGUACACUUUUCUAUUCUAGAGAGACCAAACCUUCCAAUAGCAUCUCUUCUUUGUCGAAAGAAUGAAACUUCAUGGGAGACUCGAUCAACAAUACGCAUGAACAAAGGUUUGUUCAUUCUAGAACGGCGUCGAAAUAUUUAUGGAGGGUAUUAAACAUAUUGUCGAAUUUUUGAUUGAAGACUUCAUCAAAACUUUCAUCAAGCAUCCGUCGAAAGCAUUGCUUGAAGAAGAUGCUAUAUUUUGUGAAUUUAUUUUUGUUUGAUGGAGAAACAAGAGAAGAGUUGGAGUUUGAUAGGGAAAUAAUAGAAGAGACGAGUUGGAGUUUGAUAGAGGAACAAAAGAAGAGAAGAGUUGGUGUUUGAUAGAGAAAUAAAAGAACGGUUUUCUAAACACAUAUAUAGGAAAUAAAUGAUCGAUUGUUUUACAACACAUAUGUGGUUUACAAUACUCUCAAGAAAUGUUUGUGGUUUACAAUACCCUCAAAAUUUUUUGGUUUACAAUACUACAAAACAAAACCAAAUGGAUCCAUACAAUGAUCAAUAAAACAACACAGGAAACAAAACCCGUGAUCUAUAUUGCCUAUCUUUAGCCUUCACCUCUUUGGAAACACGGGAAAUAAAACAACUCAAUAAUACAAUGCUCUGUGUAUUAUAUCUUUGGCCUUCACCUCUUUUUGCUCAUUGAGAGGUCCAGCUGACAAAGAACAACAAAACCCAUAUUCGAAAUCCAAAACCCAUAUCAGAAACCCAUAUUGUUAAAGUGGUGAAAAAAGAAUAACACACCAACCAGCUUAAACAUAGACUGAGAGAGAGAGAGAAAUUGAACCUGUACAUAUGGAGAUAGAUGCGAAUGACUCAGGAAUCUUUUUACUUAACUACCUUCAUUCUAAGAACAGAGCUCUUCAUUCUCUAUAAUAUAGAACAACGUAUACAACUAAGAAACACAACAAAAAACAACAAACUCUUCAUUCUUAAUUACUAUCUUUCUCUAAACUCUCACUCUCUAUAUUAGAAAGUUUUUAGAAAGGAAAAGUUUUCAGAAAGUUCUUACAAGGAUAGGUGUUUUACGGUUUAAGUGUUUCUAGUGCAAGCACCAUUAUAUAGGCGGUAAUGGUUAAUUUUUUUUUGGCAAUCAAUGACAAGCAUUGAUCACAAGAGCUUUAACUCUUUAACAUAAUCUAAACUACCAAGCAUUGAAAACAAAGACCUUAAAGUCUUCACCUAACAAACAGCUAACAAGCAUUUAUCCUAAAGCCUAUCUAACCGAUUAUUACUACUAUCCUUCUGCUAACUAUGUAUGCUAACUAAGAGUUAGGAAGAUGACUUACCUUGCUUCAUUGCUGUAAAGGAAUUGGUGGGAGCUUCUAUGAGCAUCUAUUGUUGUUUCUCCAUUUAACCUAACAAAAAAACUGAGAAAUGUGAUCAAAUACUUCAACAAAAACCCAAAACAUACCAUAUUCAAUCAUACAUAUAAAUUAAAUCUACCAAAAAAACCAAGCAUCGAUUUUAUAACAAAGAUAAAUGAAGAUGAAUUACCGUGCUUCAUUGCGUAAAAGGAAUCCUCCUCAAGCUUCAAGAAGAAUCUAUCGUUGUUUCUCCAUUUACCCUCAUCAAAAACAAAGAACCAAAAACUUAGCAUAUGCGGAAAAAAAAACUUAGCAUAUGCGGAAAAAAAAACUUAGCAAAUGCGAUCAUAAAACCAAAAUCAAACAAUAUAUGCCUAAAAUCAUCUUCAAACUACCCUAAUCUCAACUAUUAUUGAAUCAAAUUACCCUAAUCUCGCUUACACCAAAUAUGCAUAAUUUUUUCUUCAAACCACUAAACCCUAAUUUCAAUCUCAAUAAACAAAACUUUAUCUAGAACUACAACGAAAUCUAGCAUAUAAUCGUACCUUGACAAAGAGAAGAGAGAAUCCUUCAUUAAAAAGCCCCGAUUUUGUCUUCAUAUCUCCAAUUUGAUGUGGUUGAAUGCCGUUGGAAGACAAGAAAAACGUCAGCCAAAAAUGAAGAGAAGAAAAAGUGGUCGAAAGAAGGAGAGAGACGGUCCAAAAAAAUUUUGAGAAGAAACCAAUGAUCAAGCAACAGCUGUCCUAAGAAUCCUAUUAAGACAACGACAAAGCCCAACACACAACCAUCGGAUUCUUCGUCCAGCUUAUAACGGUCAUCAAUUAAUUGAAAACGACAAAGGCCUUGAUUCCUUGGAAACGAAAUUGUUAUACAUCUGUUCAUAAUAACUAGGAUUUAUUAGGGUUUUACUUCUUUGUAUAACUAAGAUAAGUCUGCGAUUGCAAAAUUUGAAGGGUAACAGAUCUACUUUCAUGGUAUCAGAGCCAUAAAUAACAAUUCCAUGGAGCUCUAUUCUGCUAUGUCAUUAAGUAUCACAAAACGCAACUACAUUCUCUGAAACCUCAGUUGAGUAAUCCUUGUCUGGUCGAGCUCUUCUGGGGUUUGUAACCAGAACCCUCCCCCUAGAGCUCCUUUUGUCGUUCCUCAAAUUAACAGCAAUAUAAAAAAACACCAAAUCUUUAUUACCAAACAUGGUUAAGAACAUAUCAGGUGGUCCUGAUCAUGGCUUCUCGGCUCUAUUUCAGAAAACAUCCAAAGUGUUAUUAUCAGGUGCAUCACUUCUCAUGAGAUAUGGGCCACUCUUACUAAACACUUUUAUAGAGUCUCAUGUUCUAGACUAUCUGAAGUCCAAUGUCUGUAUGAGUCUAUUUUAUAGAGUAUCAUGUUAGAUGAGAAGAAAAAUUCCCUGGCCUAAAUUGAUAUUAUCAACAUCCUUCGCAUAAUUGCAGACGAAAGGUUUCGCUUUUUUUAGACAAACCCACGUGGAGAAGAUUUUAGAAAUAGGGUUUUGCGUUAGGGGUUUUUUUUUGGCGAUUUAGGGUUCUCAAGGUUCUGUCUCACUCCAGGUGCCGCUGGUGUCGCUGCUCUCGGCGAGGGAGCAUGGCAUCACAGGGGACAGAAUUUGAGUCUCCUCGAUCUUCUGGUUCUCCGUCUCCUACUUUAUGGGCAAAUAUUUUCCAAAAUAAGAACACUCUAUCCAAGUAUGAUAUUUAAAUUUCAGUUAAAGAUGGUAAGAGAUCAGUGGAAGUCCCUCAGGAAGUUUAUGAGGCAACAUCGCUCUGGGACAACUUAGUUGUAGUUUAUAUCCUCGCACCAGUGCCUCAUGUUGUGAAGAUUCACAUGAUUGGCAAUAAGAAUUGGUCUCUAGGAGACAAAUCUCAAAAGAUCGACGUUCACGUCAUAAACGAUUCAAUCGUAAAGUUCAAAAUCUUGAAUCCAACUCUCUGAUCCAGAGUUCUACGCCAUGUCAUGUGUAAAAUUGCUGAAAUUCUGAUGGUGGUCGCUAAGUGGUCACCAAUAACAGAAGACGCUGAGCCAGAGGUGAAAUCAUUACCACUUUAGGUGCAUUUCAGAAACGUUCGACCAAAUAUGUUUUCCUGGAAAGAGCUCAGUUUUAUCACAAGCACAGUUGAUAUUCCUGAACGUCUUAAUCCGGAAACAGCAGCAUGCUCAACCUUGAGAUUGUUAAAGUUUUUGUUGAGGCAUACUUGACAAAAGAGCUUCCUGAAGUGAUCAACUAACAAUUCAAAGAAGGAAUGGAAUCAGAUGUGGAGUUUAGGUAUCCACGACUACCACCUAAAUUUUCAAAUUGUGGAAAGUGGGGACAUCUAAAUACAAUUUGUGUUGUCAACUCAGAUUCACUGUCUAAGGCUAUUGCUGUAGAGAGUGGGAUAAAAAAGGGAAAUAAGAUAACUGAGGAAACAAAACAGGUUACUAAAACAAAUGUUCAAGCUGUUAUUCAACCAGAUGGAGUGGGAAUCAAAGCAAUCGAAGUAGUCAGAGAAUUGGGGAACCAACACUACUGGUGUUGCCUGAAGAACAAUGUGUCAUUCCACUAGUGGAUAACAUGCAACAAAUUGAAGAAAUUUGGUCUGAAGUAUCACCAGGGAAAGCCUAUCGAAGCUCGGGAAAGAAGAAUUAAAAUUUGAAGUUUGGACAGGUUAAACUCUUAACUUACUCCCAAUUUGAAACUCUGGGCAAGGCGGGAGAAGAGGGUAAACGGUUAAAUGAAGAACAAAUGGCAGAAGUUGAAGCAUGAGAAGAGAAAGUAGAUGAUUCACCUAUUGAUUCAUCUUCAUUCGACUUAGCUCUUACUAGCAACGUCAAAGAAAAGAAAACUGCAAAAUAAAUGUAAACGGUACAAGUAUUAGAGCUUCUCUGCCUCAUAAAUCCAAAAACGAUCACAAAUAUCUCUCGGCUACACAAUCUCAAAAAGCUAGGGUUAACCUGGUAUUGGAUGGAGGAGACAUUCCAAACAAAAUCAUUAAUGACGAGUUUCUUUUGGAAUAGUCGAGGUUUCAACAAAAUUUCAAAGCAUAAGGUGGUUCGCAAUUGGAUUGAGAAAUCUUCUUUGCAGUUUGGUUGUAUUUUGGAAACACGAGUUCGGGAGAAUAAAUCAUAGAAGAUUUUUUAUUCAGUAUUUUGGGAUCUAUCGUGUAUAUCUAACUAUGAAUUCAGUGGUUUGGGUCGUAUAUUGGUUGUAUGGUGGGAUGGCGUAAGGCUCAUGCCAUCCAAAAUGGACAAAUAAUUACUUAUUUGUUCGGUUUGUUUGGAGAACAAAGAAGAUAAAUUUUUCUAUUCAUUUAUCUAUGCAUCCAAUUUUCCUGAGGAAAGAUGUGCUUAAUGGGAUGACUUGAAAGCGCAUUAUGACUCAGCAAUAUUCAAUGGCAAGGCUUGGAUCCUGUACGAGGAUUUUAAUAAGAUUAUUUUGGGAUCACUCAAGAUAUGAUUUAAAUCCUGUUAUUUUCCAGGGAACACAGGAUUUUCAAGACACAAUUGACUAUUGCUCCCUUUGGGACUUGGGGUUUAACGGUCCAAAUUGCACAUGGUGCAACAAAAGAGAUGAGGGACUGAUCUACAAGAAACUAGACAGGGUAUUGGUAAACGAGGAGUGGUUGGAGGGAUUCCUGAGAUCAUAUAGUAUCUUUGAAGAUGGUGGAUGUUCAGACCAUCUGUGAUGCCGGAUUCAUGUAACGCUGAAGAGCAACAAAAGAGAAAACCAUUUAAAUUUGUUAAUGCAUUGGUGGAUUUGCUAAAUUUCUUGCCGCUUGUUGAAGACUUUUGGUUUGGAACAGAGGAGUUAUUUCAAUCGACGUCCGCGAUGCUUCGAUUUUCAAAGAAAUUAAAUACUUUUAAUCCAUAUCUUCGUGAUCUUCAAAGACAACAGAUAGGAGAUAUCUUUCGUUGAACAUAGGAGGCCUAUGAGCCUGUGUGACAAACAAAAGUUUACUCUGUCAAACCCGAUAACCACUGAGAUCAAGGAAGAAGUAGAGGCUUAGCUGAAGUGGGCUAAAUGAUCUGCUCAAAUUUUAAUCCCUAGAGCUACACUGUAAGAGCAUAUAUGCAAUUGUAGUAUAAUAAGUGUCAAACCACAGAGACUCGAGAAUCACACAAUAAACUAUAUAGGUUUGAAUUCAGCUAAGUAAAACAAUGAAUUGACAGCAGUAAUGUAAUCAAAAGGGUUGUAAAAUUAAUGAGAAAUAAUAAACUUAGAGUGUUUCUCUGGAAAUCAAAGAAUGCAGAUAAAUGAAUCAGUCAGGAUUCAGAUUAAGUGUGGUUCUUGAACUCAAAUCACUAAAUUAUAAACAACCAACUUUCAUUGCGAGAAUUAUCUAAGUUUAAAUCCCAAAAUUUCAAAUUUCUUUGCAAAUCUUAAAGACUAAACAAGCUUUAAGUUCAGGUUUAAUUUGUUUCACAAAAUAACUAAACCAAAUUUCUUUGCAGGUAGUUAUUUUGCUAACCCUAGGUUCUAUCAGAUUAUCAAUCACACUUUCGUGUCAAAUCGAUAACCUAAGAUCUAAGUUCCAGGUGAUCAGUCUAGAAUUAGCUAAAAUAAUAACCUAUAGUAAAGAACUAAUCAGAUGAAUCCUAACAAACCAGUAAAUCUAGCAUUCAAAGAGAUCUUUUAUGAGAACUCUAAACCUAACAAACUACUCAGAUAUAGAGAUUGAAACGAUAAACAUGAUUAAAUAGAUUGAAAAUAAUAAUUAUGAGUUUAAGAAAUAUGGGUUCAAGAUCUUUUCUUAGAGUCUUAGACUUUUCUCCCAAAAAGCUCUCUCAAAUCUCUUCUCCAAGUAUGAAAGAUAAAAUCAAAGUUAGCCAAAACAGGUGGCUGAAAAACCUCAUUAAAAGCUAAAAACAUGAGUGGAACCUUCUUGUAAAUAUUAAAAACUUCUAGGCCAAAUGCAGAAAUCUUCAAAAAACUUGUAAAAAGACGAGAUUUCCUUUUUCACGAAAUCGGUGUCAAGCGACACCAAUAGUGGUGUUGAUCGACACCAAGGGAAGAAAUCGUCUUUCACCGCAAUUGAUUUUUGCUUGGCUCCAAAAUAUUCAAAAAUCUCCAAUUAUGCUCCAAACGCACCUAGAUCUAUUAAAACUUCAAAAGACUCAAAAAAUACUAUAAAGGCUUUAUAGAUAAAACCUAUAUCAUGGUCAAAAACCACAAAACCCAUGAUAUAUCAGUAAACUAGCAGACUUUGAAGAGAAUUUCUCAAGCAGACAUCUAAAUUUCAUUGGAUGGAUGUUUGUGAUAAAAACAACAAAGUUUUUCACCGCGCAGCAACGGUCUGGAAGUCAAAGAACACCAUCCAAGAGAUUCUUGUUCAAAUGGUUUGACAGCAACUUGUGCUGAUGAUAUAUAAAAAAGGCUGAAUCAUACUUUCAAGAAUUUUUAACUCUGAAACCAGAAGAGUACACGAGAAUUUUCGUGGAACCAUUACGAGACUUGCUUAACUUCAAUUGCUUCCAAGUCGAUUAAGCUUGGUCAACGUGGGAAGUCUCUGAAGCUGAGGUUAAGGAUGUCAGAUUUUUGAUGCCAAACGACAAAUCCUUGGGCCCAGAUGGCUUCACUAGUAAAUUUUUCAAAUGAGCAUGGCAAGUGAUUGGCAGAGAUCUCACAGUUGCUGUCCAAUCUUUCUUCAGAUUUGGGUAUCUACCUAAAGGCAUCAACACCAUUAUCUUAGCUUGAUCCCCAAAAAAGAUGAUGCCAAACAGAUGAAAGAUUGCAGACCAAUUUAUUGCUUUAAUGUUCUCUAUAGGCCAUCUCAAAUAUCCUUGCCAAUCGUUUGAAGGAAAUAUUCCUGAAGUUUGUUGCGCCAAAUCAAUCUGCAUAUUUCCAGAACAGAUUUCUGAUUGAGAACCUGUUCCUAGCUUCUGAAUUGGUUAAAGACUAUCACAAACCUUCGAUAUCAUCUUGCAGUGCGCUUAAAUUGAUAUAGCAAAGGCUUUUGACUCUGGACAAUGUCUUUCUUGAUAAAUACGAUGCUGGCUUAGACAUCCCUCAUGUCUUUGUCCACUGGAUCAAUCUAUGCAUAUCUACAACAUAUUUUCGGUUCAGAUUAAUAGGGAGCUUGCGGGUUUUUUUAGAAGUGAAAGGGGGCUGAGACAGGACUGAGCUCUUUCACCGUAUCUAUUUUUCAUUAAUGUCCUGUCCAAUGUUGGUGGUACGCUCCGCUACCCGGUUCGGAUCGGUUAAAGAUCGAGACCGGCCCAAUUGAUCCCGGUUUACGACAGUCUUAGCCGAAAUGGGCCUGGCCUGACAGCACGGCCCAUAAGAGAAAAGUCCAGCGACAAGAGGCGGUGAGAGCUGAACGAGAAGCCCUCGAACUUCUCCUCGUUUAUGUACUAUAAAUAGUAGAAUUUUUACUGUAGAAGGAAUCUUUUUCGACCCGGAGAAUAGAGACCUCAAUAUUAUUGUAUCGAGUUCGUCGAGAGACCUCCGAACUGAAUGAACUGUAAUUGAGAACUUAAUAAAAUACAAUCAAUUUAAUUUUCCGAACUCGAAUUACCGAACCGACCCCAGAUAGUUGAGAACCACAAUCAACAAUUGGCGACCACCGUGAGGCCGAUUCGGUAAUCGACCUCGAAGACAUGACGACUGAUGAUGGACAACCGACCUCAGUCUAGGUCGGGAGUCAAAUGACCUGCGCAGAUGACCCCACCCAGGUCGGAGGACAUACAGGGGAAGGCGAACACAGCCCCGUGUGACCUCAACCUGGAACACAACAAAUCAGGGCAGAGCCGAGCUCAAGCACCGGGGCUCACCAGGCUUCGCCAGCUGCCUUCGAUCCAACCGCACUCAUGAACGCUUUCGCUGCUCAAAUGCAAGAGCUAGUCCGAAGCAAUGAUGCCAAAUUCGCGACUCUCACCGCGCAGAUCUCUAGCCUGCAACAAGAGAGCCCGCUUCGACGACGGAACCUCAUCAGCGACUUCCAGGGAGAGCGAGACCUGCAGUGCACGGUGGCACGGUCGGUGAUACAGCAGCAGCAACAGUCCGAAAGCCCGUCCCAACAUAUACGAGCUCAACCGACGGCGCGCGACCUGGAAAUCGAACGGAUGCAGGCCCAACUGCGAGAGAUCAGUUCCAAAUUUCACCAAGCCACCAGUUCGGCACCUGAAAUUGACCGCGUAAUCCAGGAAGCACAGAAAACACCGUUCACUUCCCGGAUCACCAACGUCCCCGUCCCUAACCUCGAAAAGUUUAAACUACGUUCAUACAAAGGGAACUCGGACCCGAGGCAUUUUCUUACCUCGUUCGGCAUCGUGAUCAACCGAAUGAAGUUCAACUCGGCCGAGCAGAAGGACGCGAUCCAAUGCCAACUGUUCGUUAAACACCUCGAAUGCAUAGCUUUGGAUUGGUUCUCAAGAUUAGAAGCCGACUCCAUUGAUAACAACAAGGAGCUUUCAACUAAGUUCGCAAAGCAUUUCUCGAUGUUCAUCGGGCAGAAAACCCGUAACUCCGAGCUGUGGGAGAUAUCACAGGGUGAAAACGAAUCACUCCGAGACUUUAUGGCGCGUUUCAAGCAGAUCGUGGCGCACUGCACGGUGGACGACGAAGCCGCCCUCGAAGCUUUAUACCAGAAAACUUGGUACAAAUCACCUUUUCAUAAAGAACUUCGCAAGAACAGACCCCUCACCCUUGAGGACGCGCUCCACAAAUCAAACAUCUUCAUCGCGGAAGAAGAAGAAGAAGCCGCCAAAGAUCCGCAGUACUCAGCGUCAAAGCCCGACCAGACCUUGACCACCAAAGAUAAUUCGGAAACGAAAGUCCAGUCCGGCAAACCGCACGGAGUAGUGAACCAGGCAGGACCGUCAAACCAAAAGUCAGGACGGCCACCAAAAUCUUGGAACACGUGGAAUAGAGAAGAUGAUACGCCACUAAGUGAACGUUUUUGCGAGUAUCACGAGCGAUAUAGGCAUAGCACGGAGGAAUGCCGACACCUGAGGGACUUCCUACUUCAACAGUUCCGCAAGGGCGAGAUCGACACCGCAGAUUUGCCUAAACCGGGACCCCGGCGGCCAAACCCGCGACCAAACAAACCCGGCAAUCAAGAAGCUGGUAAGGCAGCCGACUCUGAUGAAGAACAGGUCGCUCCCCCUAAACGAGACCGCGAAGCACCUAAUAGAGAAACGAAUGUACCCAAAACCAGGAAGAAAGUCAAUAUGAUUAUGGGAGCCCUCGAAUCAUGCAACUACUCCGUCCGAGCCCUCAAAGAGUACAGCCGGCAGGCAUCGAGUUCGCAACCCCAGACAACGGUCACAACCGUACCACUGUUAUUCACCGACGCCGACCUACGGGGAGUGCAUAUGCCUCACAACGAUUGCCUCGUCGUUGAGCUUCAGCUCGGAGACGUCAAAGUAAGCAGGAUAUUAAUCGACACGGGGAGUUCGGUAAACGUCAUAUCCAAAGAAACACUCAAGAAUAUGGAUUUUCCGGAUUCUGAGAUCAAGCCUUACAUGGAAUCAUUGACCGGGUUCACCGGAGAGAAAACAAGAACAGUGGGAACGGUGAAAAUACCCAUUUAUGUCGGCGGGUCAGCCCGAAUGAUCAAGUUCUUAGUCCUCAACAAACCGGCAAUAUAUAAUGCGAUUUUGGGAACGCCAUGGCUGUUCGACAUGAAGGCCGUCGCUUCAACGUUCCAUCAGUGCGUCAAGUUCUCGACCCCGUCAGGGACUUUCACCCUCAAAGGAAGCCAGACCGCGUCCCGUUUAUGCCAUCUAACCGAGUGCAAACUCAGUCUCACACGGAGAUGCGUCAUCAGCCCCUUUCAGGAAGACCGUGCGGCCGCAGUAAGCCAGUUCGGUCCACCUAAACAGAGCCGAGUUGACCAAGUCUGCAUUGACCCGACAGAUCCGGAAAGAUGUGUUGGCAUAGGGGCCGAACUCGACAACAAUAUUCGAGAAGCACUCAUCAGUUUCCUCCAGAAGAACGUCUCCACGUUCGCAUGGACCAUCAGCGACAUGCCGGGAAUCAAUCCAGAUAUCACUUGCCACGAGCUAAAUAUCGAUCCAACAUACAAACCGAUCAAACAGAAGAGACGCAAGCUUGGACCCGAGAAAGCACGAGCGGUUAAUGACGAGGUCGAAAAAUUUCUCAAAGCCGGUUCGAUCACAGAAGUUUGGUACCCGGACUGGCUAGCGAACCCUGUAGUCGUGAAGAAAAAGAAUGGAAAGUAGAGGAUUUGCGUCGACUUCACCGACCUGAAUAAAGCUUGUCCCAAAGAUAGUUUCCCACUACCACACAUUGAUCGAUUGGUAGAGACAACUGCUGGCAACGAACUGUUAUCUUUCAUGGAUGCCUUCUCGGGGUAUAACCAAAUACUAAUGCAUCCGGAUGAUCGGGAAAAGACUUCGUUCAUCACAGAUCGAGGAAUCUACUAUUAUAAGGUCAUGCCAUUCGGUCUCAAGAACGCGAGAGCCACAUAUCAAAGACUCGUGAACCGCAUGUUCGCCAGUCAACUCGGAAAAACGAUGGAAGUAUACAUUGACGACAUGCUGGUUAAAUCCCUGCACGCCAAGGACCACAUAUCGCACCUGUCGACGUGUUUCAACAUUCUAAACGAGUACGGGAUGAAACUCAAUCCUGCCAAGUGCACCUUCGGCGUAACAGCAGGCGAGUUCCUCGGUUACAUCGUCACUGAGCGCGGCAUCGAGGCUAACCCAAAACAGAUAUCCGCAGUUUUGGACCUACCUUCCCCGACCUCUAAAAGGGAAGUGCAAAAACUCACGGGCCGAAUCGCCGCUCUGAACAGAUUUAUCUCCAGGUCGACCGAUAAGUGCCUGCCUUUCUAUCAGUUGUUACGAGGUAACAAGCAUCAUACUUGGAGCACCGAGUGCGAAGACGCCUUCAGGCAGCUGAAAACGUAUCUCUCGACCCCCCCCAUUCUAAAUAAGCCCGAGAAUGGCGAGACGCUAUUCUUAUACAUCGCUAUUUCCACAUCGGUGGUUAGCAGUGUAAUAGUCCGCGAGGACAGGAGGGAACAGCAUCCAAUAUUCUAUGUCAGCAAAUCGCUAAGUGACGCCGAGGCCAGAUACCCGACCUUAGAAAAACUGGCGCUUGCAGUGGUGGUUUCCGCUCGGAAACUUCGGCCAUAUAUCCAGUCUCAUUCAAUCACAGUCUUGACCGAUCAGCCGCUACGAACCAUUCUACACAGUCCAAGCCAAUCGGGUCGCCUCGCGAAAUGGGCCGUCGAACUAAGCGAGUACGACAUAGAAUACAAGAAUCGAACAAGUGCGAAAUCCCAAGUACUCGCCGAUUUUCUGAUCGAGCUCCCUAAAAGUUCAUCGUCGAACAGCCGCCCUGUGAGCUAUGGACUCUGCAUGUCGACGGAUCGUCAUCACACCGGGGAUCAGGUGUCGGAAUCCGCCUAAAGUCUCCAAACUGCGAGAUCCUCGAACAGUCGCUCCGCCUUGAGUUCCCUGCAUCCACAAUGAGUCUGAGUAUGAAGCUCUACUUUCCGGACUGCGAUUGGCCAAAGAGCUCGGUGUGCGACAUCUUCACGCCUUCUGUGAUUCGCAGCUCGUCGCAAGUCAGUUAUGUGGAGAGUACACGACCAAAAACGAGCGAAUGGACGCGAACCUAAUAAUGACUAAGGCACUCAUCUCGAAGUUUGAGACGUUCGAACUCACCAAAAUUCCUCGCGGUGAGAACUCGUCUACCGACGCGUUAGCCGCCCGAGCUUCCAGUUCUGACCCGCAUAUGAAGAGAAAAAUCCCGGUCGAGAGUAUCUCAGAACCAAGCAUCAAAUCCGCGCCAAAAUGCAAUGUUGCCACCCGACGACGGAACUAUGACGGAAAUCCGACCUCGUCAAAUACGCAACGCAGGAAUCCGGCACGAGCAAACAAGAAUGCUGAACAGGUUCUUAAGGAGAAUGCCGAACAAGCUCUCGAUGAUCUAGCCGCCGAUCACGACUUCGAGCACAUAACUGAAGGAAUCCACAGCCCAUCGACCAGUGAAAACCAGGAAAACGAGCCCGCUGAAGAUUGGACAGCCAAACUGCGAGAAUACCUCCUCAACGGCAAAGUCCCUGAAGACAAAUGGGCUGCUCGCCGUCCUAAAGUCUGGGCUGCUCAUUACACAAUGCAUAAAGAUAAACUAUACCAUUGGAGCGCAUCCGGAGUACUCUUGGCCUGCCUUGCCGGAAACGAUAUAGUCGAAAUCAUGCGCGAAAUCCACGAAGAAUCCGGCGGCAAUCACUCGGGAGGUCGAUCCCUUGUCCUGAAAAUCAAAAAAGCCAGCUAUUUCUUGCUGACGAUGAACGCGGACUGCGAGAAAUUUGUCACGAAGUGCGAUAAGUGCCAGCGUCAUGGUCCAAUGAUCAACGUGCCGACCAAACAGCUUCAAACCAGUACGGCGCCUUACCCUUUUAUGCGGUGGGCCAUGGACAUUGUUGGCCCCUUAUGCCGAUCAACAAGUCAAAAACAGUACAUCCUGCUUAUGACUAACUACUUCACAAAAUAGGUUGAGACCGAAGCGUACUCGGAGAUCACCGCACUGUACGUACAAAAAUUCAUUUGGAAGUAUAUCAUUUGCCGACACGGGGUCCCGCAUGAGAUCGUCACAGACACGGGGUCCCGCAUGAGAUCGCUGGAACGUUCAAUGAUUAGUGCGCAAAGUUCAAAAUUCAUCUUAGUUUCUCGACCCCGCGAUAUCCGCAAGGCAACGGUCAGGCCGAGGAAACCAACAAGACCAUCCUGGACGGCAUAAAGAAGCGUCUUGAGGCUAAGAAAGGCACCUGGGCGGACGAGCUCGACGGAGUCUUAUGGUCGCACCGAACUACUCCCAGACGAUCGACCGGACAAUCUCCCUUCUCUUUAGCAUACGGACUUGAAGCCCUUUGUCCGGCAGAAGUGAGCAUCCCAACAUUAAGAUACUAUGUGCUCCCCGAGAACCCCGAUCUCAACAACCAGAUGAUGCUCAACAACCUCGAUAACUUGGAAGAACAGCGAUGCCUAGCUCUCCUCCGAAUCCAGAACUACCAAAAGCUCGCUGCUCGGUACUACAACAAGAAAGUGCGAGGUCGGCAUUUCGAUGAAGGCGACCUCGUUCUGCGCAAGGUAUGCCAUAACAACGAGGAACUAAACGCAGGCAAGCUGGGAACGAACUGGGAAGGUCCAUAUCAGAUAAUGAGAAUCGUCAAACCCGGGGUUUACGAACUCAUGCAACUCAAUGGAACGCCGAUCCCGCAUUCAUGGAACUCAGCCAACCUCAAACGAUAUUACUACUAAGUCCCAGCCACCGCGAGCUCGGACUAAUCAUCUUACCGCCAUCAGCGCGCCUAAAAAAAAAAAAAAACCAGUCCGGCUCCGGCCGAACUCACCCCUGUAAACUGAACUACGAGUGGCUUGGUUUCUUGCAAAAGGGUUCGUAGGCAGCUCGAUUUCGAGUCCAGCUACAAAUCCAAAAAAAAUCCAUCUUUUUCAUUUUUGUCACUAACUUCACUCAUCGACUCCCCGGCCAGGAGAUCGAUUCAAGUAUUCCCCACGAAUACAACUACAAAAGCCGAGAUCAGUCUCGCCCGCAUCCCCAUGAUGCCCCAUCAUUCAAAGCCGGAACCCAAUCCGCACUCGCUCUUCGGAACAGCAAUCCGUCAACCACGAUUCAAGUUUGGAAAAGCCUCCCGAGUUCAUCCGCAUCGUCACUAUAACAUCACGAACUCUCCAAAUUCAAUGGAAACAAGCCGAACUCCCAACAGUUCGCAAGUAAAAUACGAGAAAAGAAAACUCUAAGUAAAGAACAGUGACAAAUAAAAACCGCGCUCAUUUCAUUAAUACCCGAAAUUGCCGAACUAGACGGCAACAAUACAACGCCCAAAACCGGCGACCAAAACAAAUCAUUAAGUUAAACCCGAACUGUGCGGGUGAGAUAAACUUUACAAUCUUAAACAACAUGAUAACAAAAUAAAAAAGGCUAAGGGGUUCCCGGCGGAAGCAACAGACGCCAGACUCUUCAGACUCGCUGCCCGAUCAGCCGAGAUGGAUCUGGAAUUUGAACCGAACUGAUCCAAACCCUCCGGUACUUGCGUUCCCGACGGAAGCACGAUCCUUGGGAUGAGGUCGUCAUCACUCGGGAGAAUGAAGUCUUCGUUCUCAAGCCGCGGGAGAGGGAUAUCAUCAACCUCCUUCGUGCAGUUCUUGACCCUGCGCCCAUACGUCUCCAUGAUGUGAGACGGAACGAUCAUGUUGUGCCGACCAGAGCAGUCGCUUGAUUGAGCUUGAGGAACGGCGCCCUCCGGAGCUCGGACUUGUCCAUGAAGUCUUUCAUCUUGGCCAGAUUCCCCUCGCAUUUGCCUCUAAGCGCGGCCAUCAUCUUUCGGCCCUUUGACUCGGCGUCUCAGUACUUCCGCCUCUCGAGCUCGCUCGUCUUGAACGACUUGGACAGAGCGUCCAUGUCGCCCUCCAGCUCGGCAGUCCGCCUUUCCAGAGCCCCGACCUUCUCCUUCAGGGCAAUGUUCUCCUUCUCCUUUUCAGUGAAGGCCAGCACCGAAGCUUCGUACCUUUCCUUCUCUUCCCGGUACGACGCUUCCAACAACACCCUCUCAGCAGCGACCUCGGCGUUAAUCUUCCUCAGCCUCUCGACCUCAGAAUCGUACUCGUGGACGAGCUCGUUGGUGUCACAGACGAGCUGAAAAUAGAGAUCAAAGUCAGACAUUUCAAAAUAAAAACGUCUAAGUAUUCAAAUCACAGAGAAGCUUACAGCGGAGGCGGAUAUCGUGACCCAGGCGUAAGACUUAGGGCGGAAGAGGUCUUUAGUCUCAGGCAUUGGAGACGAGGCCGGGAUGAUCUGCCUGAAGAGCUCGGCGCAGGCAGUUGCGUCGUCAAAAAAGGACCUCUCCUUAUUAUAGUUGAGACGGACCGAGAAAGAUGACGAGUCAGAGGUCCGGCACCUCUUGAACGACCUCGGGUUCCCGGUCUCGACCGCCGGAUCCGCCGGGGGGACUUGAGAAGCGGUAGGCGAACCGCCAAUGUCCCCGCCGUGAAGGACCAGCGUCCCCUCACUCACGGCCGUCUCGGGGUCACCGCCCCUCUUCCGAGAAGACCUCUUCGAGGACUUCCCCUUCUUUCUUCGUGCGCGGUCGGCAAUGGUGAGCUCGUCCUCGUCCUGCUCACCAAUCUCGCCUUCCUCCAUUUGAGGCUGAGGAGUCGCCUCAGGAACGACAGUUCCCACCACGUCGCCCUCCGGAUCCGUAACUGGGAUCAAGGGAUCAACUGGGCCGACCGAGACGUUGUCGACCUCGUCCCCGCCACCGGUUUCAUUACCAUCACCGACCUUGUUUCCGUCGAGGCCGACGAUGUCAAUCGGGGCAUCGUCCUCUUCCUCGUCAGCCCCGAAGUUCAUCGUCGGAAUGUCCGAUUUGUCAAAAGCCAUUUUCCGCCGACUCUUCUUGCUGCUUUUCUUCGAUUUCCUUUUCUUUGGUACCGGUCUCGACGAACUGGGCUCGGCUUUAGUUUUAGCUACAAGAAGAACAAAACGAGUUAGCUAUGAUUUAAGAUUGUCUCGAGCAAAUCGAAUCAAGAACUCAUACCUCUGUCCUGAGCUCUCUUUAUCCGCCGGUCGAUCUUCUCUUGGUAAGCUAGGGGCCAACGGCGCUGUCCGGCGAGACUUAGCUGCUUCGCUAGGUCGGACGUAAGGGAGCGUUGAAUAAAUCCUGGAACGUGGCGAUCUGCAUAAGCAAAGAAACUAUUAGUACCGACCAAGAAACAGGGGAGUUAACCGGGAGAUAUGUACCAAAAUCGACACUCCAGCCAGUCCGGAACGUGCUCUCCGGAUUCUCAGCAGACAGCGAAUCGACGCGAACAAAGAAGUAACUUUGGUCCCAGUUCGGAAAUUUGCUAGCCUUGUUCCCAGUAACCAGGUCGAACUUCGGGUUGCAAUUCACCGACAAAAACCAACUUUUGGCCGAUGAGACCUUCAUGAUAAAAAGCUCCUCGAAUUGGGCCACAUUGAUGUGAGCACGGAUAUCGCGCCCGAGCUGGAGAAUCCCGACAAAAUUCACUAUCGACGCCGGCUGGAGUUGUGAUAUCGCGCGGCCGCGACGAUUGCAGUAAGCGAACAGCAAGCGGGGCAGAGGGAAAGUCAAUCCGGCCUCGCGGAAAUAAGCCUCGUAGACACAAAUGAAGUCCUCGGGUGCAUCCCAAGGGCGCUCUUCCGGUUCGAGAACCUGGAUUAUGAUUCCAGGAGGGGCCCCGCCGAUCAGCAUUGCAGCCCGAACUGUCUCUGGGGAUGACAAGGUGGACUUCACUGGAGCGCACACGCAUGGCCGAUCCAUGAUCGGCAUCAUGUCAUCAUCGUUUGGAUCCAGCGCUCCUCCAUCCCCGACCUCACGCAGUGGAGCAUCCUCAUCUGUCUUCGCGUCAGGCUCCCGUCCCGAGACCAGGUCAGUGAGAACCUGGCCCUCGGGCUCACGGAGAUUCCGAUCCAUCCGCUCCGGAGCUCGUAUCGGAACCCGACUACUAGAGUCGACCUCGACGACCCGGGAAUUCUUCCGAACCAGAGAAGCGUUCGAAGAAUGCUCUGUAGAUCCCGAGCUCGAGGCGUCAGUGGAAGAUUCCUCCCUACAGUGUUCGGGAAGAAUAGCGGCUUCAGAGUUGGAGGAGGAGUUGGAAGACAUCGUCGGAGCAGUUCGGGAAAAUAACCGUCGACGAGAGAGCACGGCGGACGGCGGCCGGAGAUCCUAGAGAGAGAAAAAAGAAAAUUUAGAGAGAAGGGAGAGCGAAUACCUUGGCAGUAGGAGCGAAAGUAGGAAAUGGGGAGAGUUGAGCCCUAUUUAUAGAAGAAGGGCGAAUCAUUGCGACUUCUCGAGUUCCGCACUUCGUAACGUCUCGAUUUCCCGCCUAAACCGACGCGACUCUUCAGUUUCCCGCGAGCAAAAAGACCUUAAUACCAUCGUCGAAAUAUUAGGGGAAAGAACACUGCUACAAGUCGGGAAUUCGGUAUUCGCCGACCUCGGUCAUUAACAACUCCGGCUUCAAUUCGGCAAAAGUCAGUCAGGUCCAUUUACCGAACUGGGGGGACAUACUGUUGGUGGUACGCUCCGCUACCCGGUUCGGAUCGGUUAAAGACCGAGACCGGCCCAAUUGAUCCCGGUUUACGACAGUCUUAGCCGAAAUGGGUCUGGCCUGACAGCACGGCCCAUAAGAGAAAAGCCCAGCGACAAGAGGCGGUGAGAGCUGAACGAGAAGCCUUAGAACUUCUCCUCGUUUAUGUACUAUAAAUAGUAGAAUUGUUACUGUAAAAGAGAUCUUUUUCGACCCGGAGAAUAGAGACCUCAAUAUUAUUGUAUCGAGAGACCUCCGAACUGAACGAACUGUAAUUGAAAAUUUAAUAAAAUACAAUCAAUUUAAUUUUCCGAACUCGAAUUACCGAACCGACCCCAGAUAGUUGAGAACCACAAUCAACAUCCAAAAUGCUCGACAAGACUGAAUCUGAUAGGAAGUUUGGGUAUCAUCUUCAAUGUAAAAGCAUUUUAAUUCCUCACUUAUGCUUCGCUGACAACCUUAUGGUUUUCACGGAUGGGAAAAUCAGGUCUAUGGAAGGCAUUAUCUCAAUCUUUGAUGAGUUCGGAAAGAUCUCGAGUCUACAAAACAGCCUUGAAAAAUCUACUGCCUAUCUUGCUGGUGUUACAGAGCAAAACAGAGAAAAAAUUGAGUUGCUUUUCCGGUUUGUGGUUGACCAACUACGAUUUCGAUAUCUUGGAUUACCCUUGUUGACAAAGAGAAUGACUCUGACAGACUAUGAGCCCAAAUAAGAUGGUAUGAAGACGAUGUUCAUUUGUGGCAGUUCAAGGAGGAGUUUUUAAAGAGAAGUUAUCGACAAAAGCUACUUGGAACCAAAUCAGACCCCCUAAUUAAACCUCUUUAACAAUGGAGCUGUGGUGUCUGGUUUUCAAAUUCCACACCAAAAUACUCUUUCAUGGCUUGGCUUGCAGUGUUAGAUCGCUUAUCCACCAGUGACCGAACUCUUUGCUGGCAACAAAACAUUUCCACUGACCCAAUGGAAACUCGCAAUCAUCUCUUCUUUGCUUGUUGUUUUGUGCAUAAUUUUGGUCGAAUAUCGCACAAGGCGUUCUCCAACAUCAGUUCACGACAGAUUGGAGUACCCUUGUUCAGAUCAUCUCAACAACUUUUGUUAAUCGAUACCUAUUUCAGGCAACUUUUCAGUUGACAACUUUUGUUACUUGAUACCUGUUUCUGGCAACUUUACAGACUAUGUAGCGAGAGAGAAAUAAACGGAAGCAUGGAAAUCAACUGUCACCAUCGCAGAGACUCAUCAAACUCAUUGAAAAGACAAUGAGGAAUCGUCUAUACUCAAUCAUUCGGAGUGGUGACAAAUGUUUCUCCCAGAGAUUGACGUUUUGGUUUGCAACUCGACCUCCAAGUUGAAGACUCUCCUCUGUUCAUAUUCUUUCAAAACAGUUCUAAUCAAAACAAUUCUAAUCUCAGUUUGUUGUAUUGUAAAAACGUUUUUUAUGGAUAAAUUUUACAUUGUAUUCUUUUAACAAAAAACACAUGAUCCAACCUUUCGUAUAGAUGUAGCUAACCGUCGAUCUCACUUCUGAAGCAUCAAAGUAGUCCAUACAAGACUUCACCUUCUUCAUAUUUCAACCUUUGUUAACAUUACCUUCAUGAACCUCGGCAAAUCCGUGUCCGUGACAGAUCUUAUCUAUCACACCUAUAAGUAUGUGUUCUUCUCUGCCAUGAUCUGUUUUGGACUAUUCACGAACGUGUGUCCACUCUCAUCCACCUUCUUCAGCCAAGAAACCUGCUUGUAAGUUUAAAUUUUGGCUAGACCUACAUGAUUCAAAGAUGAGAGAACGUAACAAGUAUGUAAGUGAUAAAAAGACACAUAAUUUUCACGAAAGUUCCGCUCUCCAACCUAAUUUCUUGGACUUAGUCGAAAACAAAUCCAUAUAGAAUUCAACACACAACCAUGCUACCUACCAUUCUUUUCCACACGGAUAUUGAAUCAAGAUAUCAGGCACAUCAUACUUGACUAGCACAGUACCACCUGUAGCACCGGCACACCAACGUCUUCUCUGAAUGGUGAGACGAUGCCACACACUCAUGUGUGCUUCAUGAGACUGUCUUUCGAUAUUUAUAGGAAGGCAUGAUACUCUAUACCUAGCUGCAUUUGUCUCACGAUGUUUAUUUCCUAAAACAAAUGAGACUACACCGAUAGGAAUCUGUGCAAUCUUCUAUCCUUCUUUUUCUCUUACCAUCCAAUAUUUUCCAUAUUAAAAUGUGUGUUUUUAUCCAAAAUCUAUAUAAGGACCCAUCUCAAGUCAUCUUUAUUGCCACAUCAUUAUUUUGUUAUGUAUCAACUAAAAACAUCAAACUCGAUCCAUCGUAACGAACCCAUUUGAAAAUGCAGUCAAAAUUUCUAUGAAACAAAUAUAUAUUAGCAUUUCAAUCUGACUUAUAACAAAAUAUCCACAAACGAACAAACACUACUUUUACCUUAUUUGGAGCAAUGCCUCUAAAGUUUAUGAAUUCUGGGCUUUUCUCUGUCAAGGAUGUCCCUAUAAUGGUGUAUUUUACAACUACAAUCAUAUAACACAUAUAUUCAUACGUAUGUUAGUUAAUAGUUCCUAUACAUGCAGAUUUUCAUAUUGUUAGUUCAUAUAAACUUUUUUUUAAGUUUAUGUAAACUUUAUUCAAAAAAAAACUUGUUUACAUCGAGUGCAUCAUGAAUUCGAUUUAUAGUACAAAUGAAAAGUUUGAUCAGAUAGGGAUGUCUCUAUAGUGUAUUUUACAACUCACUCAACGUUCAUACUGUAUUUUACAACUCACAGUCAUACAUAUAUAAGACAUAUAUACACCUUGCUAACAUGUUAUCAAUUUAACGUUUAAUUAAUAUUUUGUUUUAACAAUUUCAGAAUUGUCCUUUUAAAUUUAGCUUGUGGAAUAGUUAUUGGACAUGCUACAACUUUACAAUGUUUCAACCAAGAAAUAACACUUGUUAUAAUGCCCAAUCAUCGACGACCGCAAGUUGGUGUCUACUGAAUAUUAUUAAUAGGGCGUGAAUAGAAUAACUAUAAAAUACUUUUUCUCCUUUUUCGACGUCAAAAAUAUAGUAAUUUUUUCUUUCUUUCUGAAUUUGGGUUUAGCUAUCAUACUCUCCAAAUGUACCUAACCGAAGUGACAUCUACAAAAAAAAGUUGUUCCAACAUCUAUCAACUGAUUAUUAUAUACACUAUUUGUACCUUUAAUCAUUUCCACAAUAGUCUAAAUAUAUAUGUGAUAGACAUCACGAGAGCUAGAAAUAGAAAGAAGAAACAAUCACAUAAUUAUAUUUUUAAAAUUUUGAGUGAGAAAGACAGAAUAAGAAGAGAGUGUGUCUUGACUCUUGAAUAAAAAGGAAAGAGAGAGAGAGAGAGUGUGUGUAGUCAGAGAUACAUAUAUUUUCCUAAAAUCAUAGAUUAAACUGUCUUAUCAAUUCUAUUAAUAGCUGGGGUAAAAAUGUGACAUUGAAUUACUAUAUUUGUCGAACAAACUUUUGAAAUUGAUAAAACUGUAGAUAUCACUUUCAAAAAUUCAUAGCCACACAAAAUACUUGAAAGAAAAUAUCAUCUAAAGCUCUAUAUAGUAAAGAGAAGGAUUUGGUGAUACAAGCACAAUAAAUGCCUAAAGUUUGAAAACAUUGGGAAUAAUAGGUACAAUAUAUCAAGAAAUGGUCCUCACAUACUUAGCAUUGCGUUUGAUUUGAAUGGACCACAAACACAUAUGCAUCCCCCUCAAGCUAAUAUACCAAUCUCAUUUUUUGUCGGAUCUAAACACGUAAAGAUUCUGAUGCAUUUUCUUCUUCUUUUUAGCAUUUAUGUAGAAAUAGAUUAUAGCUACUUAGAUAAAUACAAAGAUAAUCACAGCACGUCAUAUUCACCCAAAAAUCUCACAUAACUGACCAAAACAUUUAGUCUACUGGUUUUUACUAUUGUCAUUGUGUCAUCGCCACGUUGAUUGGAAAAACCUCAUCUAUGUUUUUAGCCUAUAACCUCACUUAGUUAAAAGUUUGAGCAAAGACAUAUUACAUGAUACAUUAAAGCUAUCAUCAUGAUCUGAAAAUGGUUGCUAUUUUGCUUUACAAGAAAGAGAUAUUGUAUAUAGAAUAAAUGAAUUUUAGGACAUCCCAAUGCAUUGCUCAAUAUAUACCAUUUUAUUUAUAAUGAUAUCUCCAAUAUUCAUUUAUUUGAAUAACUAAAUAUAUUUGGAGGAAGAGUGAUCUCGAUACACACAUCUCCAUAACUUACAAGUCAUUACUAAACACAUUUGUAAGAAAAUAAACUAUUUAGGAUUUGGUUUAGGAACAAGAAAGUUGUCAUGUAUUCAUUAGGGAUGAUUUAAGCUCAUAAUCAAAAUAUGAAACUCAGAAGGACAACAUAUUUGUACAUGAAUGGACAAAAAUAGGGACAAAAAAAAAGAGAGUAGUCUUGCUCCAUUGUUCAUCAGUAGUAUUGCAGUUAUAAUUCUAUAAUAUGUAAAUAGAGAGGGGACAAAAUGGUGGGACUGAAUAUGCCUAGCUUACGAUGUGUAAGGUCCACCAACAAGUUCCUUAUUGAUUCUCAAUUUCAAUGUAGUAGCCAACAACAACGAACUCAAAAAUGAAUUGACACUGUGUCUUGAAAACCUUUUCUUUGCUAAACAUCUAUAAUUCCAUAGAGAGCCUUUUAUAUCAUUUAAACAUCCAAUAUAAUUACCUACUUUAUUCCGAAAAAUGAGAGGAAUAUUGUGUUGUUAUGGAAAUGCAAACUGAGAUUGGUGACAAAAGAAAUAAGGUGUAAAUAUAUAAAUUACCUUAUCCUUUGAUGAUUAGUUUCGCUUAGCUUGCCAAUCUUUGAUAUUGUGACUCUUGGUAAGCUUGUGGAUCCAUUCAUAUCUUGAGUUGAAAGGAAGUAACAAGAAAAAGACUGCCAAAAAACUUGAGAUACUAAAUCAAAUCCAAUGUAAUCACAUGAAACCAAAAAAAAACCACAGGAGUUCUUGGUCAGAUCUUGGAGAAUAGGUUAAUUAACAUAAAGGUGGAAAAAAAGCAAAAGAUAUCAAUCAGAAACAAACCUACCUGAAGAAGAUCUGGAUUAAAUAAAAGCAUAUAGAGAGAGGGGGAUGGGGGAAAGAAUAGCCGUUGAUUGCCGAUGCAGCAUCAUCAAGAUUCUCAUCUUCACAGAGAACUUUGGGAGAGAGUAAAUCACCACCGUCCAUAAACAGAUGUGAAUCUUGAUGAUGCCACAGCAGCAAACAAUGACCGUGGCUUCAGAAACUAGAAUUCCGUUUUGCUAAAAAAUCGUCUGGUAGUAUUCUUUUGUCUCUCACAAUCUUUACUAAUCUUAUGUCUCUCAAAUUCGAACUCAAUCUUUACUAACUACUUAUAUAUAAAAAUAUUCAUCUACUUAUACAUAAAUAAAUCUUCUUAGUUCACAGAAACUCAGUUAUUAAAGAAGCUAAUCGGAAUCAAAAUAAUAAAAAAAAAAAUGAAGAGUUAAAGCGGAAGAAGCGAAACCCUAAGAGAGAGGGGGAGGAAAAAUUCAUGAAAACCAUCAGAUCUUCGUAAUAUAUACCGCUAAAAUAGUAAAAUGAGAAAAAACCACAGCUUUAAUUUAGAUUUGCAAGAAGAAAAAAAUAUGACGUAUGUAUUACAUGUUAGCAGAUCGUGGAAGCUACAUACUAGGCAGAGAAGACCUGGAGAGAUCUAAAACAGAGAGAGACAAAGCGACUAAGCGAGAGAGAGAGAGAGAGAGAGAGAGAGAGAGAGAGAGAGAGAGAGAUGUGAGGUUAGAGGUAUAUAGUGAGAGAUGUGAGGUUAGAGGUAUAUAGUGAGAGAUGUGAGUGUGUGUACGUAUAUAUAUAUAUAUAUAUAUGCUUAUACUUGUGAUUAAAUGUUAAUAUGGUGAUUAGUUUAUCAUAAGAAAUAUUAAUAAUAAAAAUUGUUGGAUAGAGAGUUGAGUGGCAGAAGAGUAAACAGAGUUGGGCCAAUGGAGUUAGGCGCUGCCGUCUUGGAGUCCACCUCCUGAUGGAAUAUCUCACUUCACAUGUCGAACGGACUGUUUUUUUUUUUUUUUUUGCGCAACUAUUAUUUAUUGGAUCAUCUAGCUACAAAGGUAUGAGGUAUCUAAAGUUUUAACCAUGCAGUAAAAGAAAACAAAAAUGUAAAAAGAGAAAUAUUGGAUAUAUUAGGGAUAGGAAAAAUAUGCCCUAUAUUCGCUUUGAUUAAAAAAAUGGAUAUCUGUAACUAUAAGAACCAAAAUAUAUACUAAAUUUUAAUAUUCUUUAAAAAUGAAACAAAUCACAUACAAAAAAAAUUUAAAAACCGGUUCGCAUAUAUAUAUAAUCUAUACUAUAAAACUUGGUCAACUCUCUCCAGCUGAGUGAUAUAUCAGCACUGGAGAAAGUGACACAUGUAAAAAUUAUUUUUACUAUUAAUGCAUAAACAAAAUUUAAUUUAAUUUUCAUUAUGCUAAAAAUAUUAAAUCAUCAGAAUAAUAUAAACUAAAUUCAAUUUUAAAUUAAACAUCACAAUGUAUAAAAAAAAAUUUGAGAUUUUAGUUGUCUACUCUUUUUUCUAUGUAAUUUAUUCAUAUUUUUUAAUUAACAAAGAUAAUUUAUUCAUAAAAAAGUAAAGAAAAAAAAGAAAUCAUGAAACCAAAAAUAAGAAUAAUAGAUUAAAAAAAUGUCAACCAACCAACUGAAGAACAAGUUUUUUAGAGUUAGAAAACCACAAAAUACAAAAGAACAUUCAUUAAACAAUCAAAAAGAUAAUAAACUAUUAAAAAUAAAGAGAAAAAGGACAAAAUAGAAAAGAAAAAGAAUAUGAUAACAAAUAAAUAGAAUCAAUGAAAUAUGUGAAAACAGAACAUGAAUAUGGUAAACUGCAGAAAGUAAAAAUGAUCGAAAAAGCAAGUUAUGAAAUCAAAAAAAAAAAGAUAGGUUAAGAAUUUCAAACAACUGAAGAACAAUUUUUGAGAUUGUUAGAUUGAGAUUUCAAAAUGAUUGCUAAAUUGAGAUUUCAAUGAAAAAAGUUAAAAAAAAUUAUAGAUAGAAAUAAUUAUUAGGAUUAUAGAAAAUAUUAAGGAAAUCACAAAAAAAUUUGAUAGUUGAAUUAGAAAAUUAGAAACAUAAGUAAAACAAGAUCCGUGCGUAGUACGGGUUAUCUCCUAGUAAUAUAUAAAAGAGAAUGAUUAGAAGUUGGUAACUCACCGGAUCGCGAUACAUGUUAAAUUAAUUGUUCGGAUUUUGACAUUUAUAAGAAAAUUAAAUAAAAAGGGAUAAAUUCGAUCGUUUUUAUGUGGACAAGUCACGUGCUUGCACGUAGUGUCCAUGGCUUUUUUACAGAUACAGCCCCCUGGACCAAAUUAGGACUCGUGUUGUACUUACAGCCCAACACGUCCUACGCAUAUAGCACCGGACCUCGAAUCUAGUCAGAUUCGAGAGAUCCAACAUGAUGAGACACCUGAUCCUGGGUUUCUUGUAUAUGACAGCAUAGGCCACGCUGUUAGGCACAAGGAGGUCAGAAACGGAGUGGUCAGGAGGAGGAGAUGUCACUUUCUCUAUGUCCUAGACCUAAGUUCGGUGAUCCGGAAGGAUCGGGACAUAAGGAAAGGUGACCCGCACAGGUAUCAGGAGAGCGGAGCUGUUUAAGCCACUCCGGCAGCCCGGUCCCAAUAUCGAGGGAUCCGGGCUAGGUAUGAGUAAACCCAUAAGCAGGAAUUCAAAAUUCUCUCCAUUCGACAAUAGGAAUAUGCUUUAGUCUAAUUUGAUCACCCAUGCCCUUACAAACUCACGUGUAGUGAGUAAUAGCUCUGGUUGUUCGCUGUUUAAGAAUUUUUGUUUAGGCAGUUCAUACCAUCCAUACAUAGUGUUUUGAUCUAAGAUUUCAAUUCUUCCAUAUUUCGAUUAGUUAUGAAGUACUAUUAACUCUAUGUGUUUUAUCAAUAUCUCUACGUGCGAUUCGUUGAAACAUAAAUGUUUAUUUUGACUAUUCCAAGCAGGGGGCAGCGGGUAGGCGAAAUGGAGGUUUAGGCUCUAGAGGGGUUUGGUGUUGCUCAUAUUUUACAAGAGAUGCUUACUUAUAAAUCUGAUCAUAUUAGAACUUGGACAAAAAAAGAAGUAACUUGGAUAAAAAGAAACGAAGUAACUUGGACAAAAAGAAACGAAGUAACUUGGAUAAAAAGAAACAAAUUUUUUUGGUUCUUGUUCUUGUUGGAUCCUAAAAUGAGAGAUUGACAUUUAAUGCAUCUUGCUUACAUGUGUCAGGCAACAGUGACCUUUCGCAGGAGCUAGAGAGAAAAGCAGAGGAUCAGCAAGAGCCAUACCGCGCCUGAACCGCCGAACCAGCCCGUACAUUGAGGACGAAAGGGACGCACCAAAGAACGGUCUCGUGGCAGGCAGAACAUGCCAAGGAAAGUUGGUAAGGCCAUCAAAAGCGUAACGCAAGCAUAAGAUUCGAAUCUAGUUAAGCCGGAUCAUGGACCAAUCCACCUCACUUGCUAUCCACGGACCAACCCGGUAUACUAACCCGGGUCAGGUAAAAUCCAAUAAAUAUUUUUUCCCUUCCACGAGGGAGGGGAUCACUUUUUUAGCUAUCUUAAGUUUCAUGUUAUCUCUCUAGAUACUUGUGAUCCUCGAGCUCUAACACCUCAUACUUUCUGAUCAUUUUCUCGAUCAUCUCUACACUUCCUCUCCAUAGUGGCCUCUAAGCCGUGGAGACUUUCAACCAUCAAACUCUGCUUUUCCUCUCUUUCACCUCAAAAGGCCCAACACCGUAAAAGGCCCGAGUUGACUUCACCCUUCUCGGGAGCGCUCGGCCCACUUUCCUUCACCCGUUUUUUUAUCUCUUUCUGCUAUCCGAUUAGCCACAUAGUGGUCUUUUUGGAUGGUUUCUGACUUGAGCGGCGGAGAGCCUUCAAAAAAUACACCUCCAUCGUUUUUUAGACAUUCACGUGUUUCUCGGUUUUGCAAGAGACUUACCCCUUCAGGAGGACCAAAAAUCUCCUAAACAGUUAAAAAUUAAAAAAAUAAAUAAAUAAAAACCUAUAUUUAUAUUAUAAAAACCCUAGAUUUCAGUUUAAAAUAAAGAAAUAAAAUAAUAACUUACAAUUCUAAAUAGUUAAAAUUUUACAAAAAAAAAAGGAAAAACAAUUCUUAAGUUUCAUGUUAUCUUUCUAGAUACUUGUGAUCCUCGAGCUCUAACACCUCAUACUUUCCGAUCAUUUUCUCGAUCAUCUCUACACUUCCUCUCCAUAGUGGCCUCUAAGCCGUGGAGACUUUCCACCAUCAAACUCUGCUUUUCCUCUCUUUCACCUCAAAAGGCCCAACACCGUAAAAAGCCCGAGUUGACUCCACCCUUCUCAGGAGCGCUCGGCCCACUUUCCUUCACCCAUUUUUUUAUCUCUUUCUGCUAUCCGAUUAGCCACUUAGUGGUCUUUUUGGAUGGUUUCUGACUUGAGCGUCGGAGAGCUUUCGAAAAACACACUCCAUCGUUUUUUUUAGACAUUCACGUGUUUCUCGGUUUUGCAAGAGACUUACCCCUUCAUGAGGACCAAAAAUCUCCUAAACAGUUAAAAAUUAAAAAAAAAAAACUAAAUAAAAACCUAUGUUUAUAUUAUAAAAACCCUAGAUUUCAGUUUAAAAUAAAGAAAUAAAAUAAUAACUUACAAAUCUAAAUAGUUGAAAUUUUACAAAAAAAAAAAAGGAAAAACAAUUCUUAAGUUUCAUGUUAUCUAUCUAGAUACUUGUGAUCCUCGAGCUCUAACACCUCAUACUUUCCGAUCAUUUUCUUGAUCAUCUCUACACUUCCUCUCCAUAGUGGCCUCUAAGCCGUGGAGACUUUCCACCAUCAAACUCUGCUUUUCCUCUCUUUCACCUCAAAAGGCCCAACACCGUAAAAAGCCCGAGUUGACUCCACCCUUCUCAGGAGCGCUCGGCCCACUUUCCUUCACCCGUUUUCUUUAUCUUUUUCUACUAUCCGAUUAGCCACUUAAUGGUCUUUUUGGAUGGUUUAUGACUUGAGCGUUGGAGAGCCUUCAAAAAACAUACCUCCAUCGUUUUUUUUAGACAUUCACGUGUUUCUCGGUUUUGCAAGAGACUUACCCCUUCAGGAGGACCAAAAAUCUCCUAAAGAGUUAAAAAUUUUAAAAAAAAAAUAAAAAAUAAAAACCUAUGUUUAUAUUAUAAAAACCCUAGAUUUCAGUUUAAAAUAAAGAAAUAAAAUAAUAAAUUACAAUUCUAAAUAGUUAAAAUUUUACAAAAAAAAGGAAAAACAAUUAGUAUUUCUAUUAAAACUAAGAAAAUUAAAAUUUUAAAUACAAUCCUAAGAAAAAGAUUUUAAUUUUCUACUUUAUAUAACCAAAUUGAUAGAUCAUCAAUCUCACAAUCAAAGACACUUAAUUUUGUUUUUUAAUUUUUUUUUUUACAGAUGGUGUAAAUAUUAAAUUAUAAACCCGUAUAUUUGCGGAUAUGUAUAUAAAUUUUUAUGAAUUUAAUUCUUAUUGGAUUUUUUUCUACUAGGUAUCUACAGUUUUAACAGUGCAGUGAGAAAAUAAGUAGCAAUUCAAUAAUAGUCAGCUAUUAUUUAAUCUAACAGGUUAACGACAGCUAAAAAUGUUUUGAUGGUUAAAAGUAUUGGGGGAGAAUGCCAAAAAAAAAAAAAAAAAAAAACUCCAAAUGUAUUGGUUAUAAAGUCUGCAAUUUUCAAGUUUCGAGAAUAGACAUGCAGAAUCUUUAUAAAUUGAUGUUAAAAAGAGAGAAAUAUAUCAAAUAAUAUGUUGUAUCUCUUAAAUACUCGCCAAACACUAGUCAAAACGUAACGUGCUUGGACGAAAAGCAUGGUUUCCGGAGAACGACGUAAGGUGAUAUAUAGUUUUAGAUUAUAGCCGACAAAGGUGUGAAGAAGGAAGCUAUCCACCGAAAAAGGUUGGUGAUUUCUGACAAAUAAUUGAGGUCAUGAGGGAUCUCAAAGAUAAUAAGGAAAGGAACACGUACCUCAUCGGCUCGGAUCAGAGACUUUGAGAUGAGUUUGAUGUCUAUAUAGAACAAUAAAUAUUUCCCUAUUUCUAUUAUCGUUUUGGCGGCAUAUAUUUAAGGUAACAUAGUGGGUGAUGAUGUGAAUCAGACCAGUAGAUGGAGUGUACCCUAAUCAUCUCUAUCAGUUACUAUAGUCUAUAGGAUCCCUAACCGAGGUUUCAAAAAAAAAAAAAAAAAAAAAGAUCCCUAACCAAAAAUCUUAUUUUAAAAUUAUUUAUUGCAUUGCUUUUUUAGAAAAUCACUAAAUAGUAUAAUUUCUUACUCAUAAAUAUCAAAUUUAUCACACAACUUUAUUUAAAAACUUUUAUUGGGUUUUAUAUUUUACUGUUAUUUAUUUAAUCUCUUGUUCUUUGGCGAUUUUUUUUCAAACGUAGCUUUUAUUCUGUUCAAUUAUGAUAAUCAUAAAUUUAAUUUCUAAAAAAAUUAAAAUUGCAUGCACUGAUAAUUUUGGGCCUUACUUUGUGUUCAAAUUCACAUUCAACUGUUUUCAGCUUAUGUUUGGUUAGAGUAAUGUGUUCUCAGAUACUCCAAAUGCAAUUUCGUCCAUCCGGAAUAUGUCUUUCUCCUCUAUAUCAAUAACCCAAAAAAACUUUGGUAUUUUGCUAAUUCUUUUUUUUUUUUUUUGCGUAUAUGACUAAUUAAUUCAAUAGGAAAGUGUUAUCAAAAUGGCUUUAAUAUGACUACAAUACAACACCCCAAUGUGAGAGUUGAGGAAUUAAGUGCCCGUUACUUCAUAUGAAAAUGAUGUUUUUCAGUGUUAUACUGCUAUGUAAUAUGAAAUUAUGAUUCUUACAACUAAUAUAUAAAAAUAUACUUACGGUUGUGAUCAAUACUAAUUCAUUUAUAUAUCCCUUUUGUAAAAACAAUUUAUACCAAUAGAAUCUAGAAAAUGACAGGGCCUAAUACUAUCUUCAUUGAUACAAAUCGCCCGUAGUAAAAGGGAAAGUGGAUUGGGUCGACUUUUAUUAAUGAAAGAAAAAGGUUUAUCUUUAUUGAUCUAAAUCUCAUGUAGAUAACAUACCCACUAAUCAGAUAUUUAUUUAUCAACAAAAGCUAUUCAUACAAUACCAAUAUUUUUUAUCAAAUCAACAAAUCACUUUAGCAAAAUUAAAAUAAUUUUUUGUUCAAUUAGUUAAAUAAUUAAGUACUAUAUGUAUAAGUCAGUAUAUGUAUAACUGAUAUAUAUAUAUAUAUAUAUAUAAUCAGAAAGUAUGGCCUCCACUAUUCAGGUGGUUUGAAGUACUUUGUUGAACCCAAGGAACUCUGAUGCUGUUACGAGGAUCUGGUCUCUGGAUUUUUUUUGUGUGUCAAGUCCCGAUUUGAUUAUUAUAUUUUUUUGUAUCUUAAACUAAUCGUCCACUAGCUCUCCGAUAAAGGUAACUUGGUUUAGGGUAAAGAAAGCAUUUGAAUACUUAAUAAAAAAAGAAGAAGAUGAGGUUACCACAAUAAUUAUAAGACUACUAACACUAUAAUAUCGUAUCAUGUGCUUCUGUGUCAUUAUACUAAAACCCGCCAAGAUACGUCAUUGUGUUUAAAUUUUAUGCUAAGAAAAAUAAAUAAAUAAAAAAACUUCUAAAAACUAUUUAUUUCACUACUCAAAUCACGAACUUUGUUUUCUGAUAAAGUUUAGCAAAGUGUGUACUCCUCCACAGAGCCGUGCUUUAUAUGUAUCAAAAAAAGCAUUUGCUUUACACCACCAAAUUUAUUUUUAAUUUUGAAAAUUAAUUUUUUUAUAAGUUUAUCCAAAUAUGUAAAAUACAUAGAUUUUAUUUGUUAUGUAUAGUAGAAGAUAUUAUGUAGUUAUAUAUAUAAAUAUAUAUAUAUAUAUGUGAAAGAGAACUAAAAAAAAUUAGUUAUGAUAUUUAAAAUUAUGUUUUGUUUAUAAAAACUAUAAUAGUAUUAACAAUAAAUGAACUAUAAAUAAAAUUUCAGUCGGAAAAAAAAAAUUUAAAUUCAAACAAAAUAAAAUAAUAAAUUUUUUAUAAUUUGCUUUAGCCCUCUCUAAGGCUACGCACGACACUGCCUCUAUUUCUUAAUAAUUGAUAUUUUUAAUAUUUAUUUUUAAAUAAAAAGUUACACUUGAAUCCACGCAGAUUGGGACUACAAUGAACGGUUUUCCUUGCAUCAUGCUAUAAUAUUUUUAUAAAUUUGUUUUCAUUAAUAACCUGUAAAAAUCGCAUCUUUCAGAAAUUAAAAUCCAAACUUCUUGGUGUAGAGCAGUAAUUAAUUUUUAGUCGACCACCAGACUAAAGGACUUCCACAAUAACUUCUAUUUAUAAAUAUGAUUAUUACUCUAUUUUCUUAAUUUAUCCUUCUCAUUUAAUUUCUUUAAAGAGAAUUAAAUAAACAUUAAUAAAAAUAUAGUUAUAAUAGCAUUUAUUCUAGUCUAUUACUAUAAAAUUAUAGAGUUUUCUCUUCAUCUAUAGUGAUCCACAUCAGUAGAAAAAAAAACUAAAACAAAAGUUAUUGACUCAAUUAUAAUUCACACACUUUAAAAUAACUAUAAUUUUUCAUUUAUAAAAAACACUAGCACUUAAAUUAAUGAUUUAAUUACUUAACACACUUUAUAGAAAAGUUCAAAGACGAUAAAAAAAAUAAAAAUAAAAAUAAAAUAGAAAGAAGAACAGAAAAAAAGAACAAGAGAAUGUAGAUGAUGAAGAAGUAAAAGAAACAAGAAUAUAAACCAGAUAAGUAAAAAUAAGAGAUAAAAAAAAUUAAAAAAAGAAGAUGAAGAAAAACCAAAAAAAAUGAAGAAAAAGUCGACGACGAUGAAGAGGAAGAUGACAAAAAAAAGAAAGAUAAAGAAAAGGAGGAAAUUAGUCUAGUAAAAUCAAAAACAAAUAUAAAAAGAAGAAGAAAAAAGACAAAUAAAAUAAAUUAACUGUUCAACGAUUUGUAAUAAUAGCUAGCUGUUUAAAAAUAAAUUAUGUACAACUCAUAUAUAUAGUAUAAUAUAGUAAUUAUAAAAGUAGAGAAUAUAAAUCACUACAUAACAUAAAAUUGGGAUGCCCGGCCACUGCUAAGCGCAACAACAACUAUGUCUAGUAUAUUCAUAUUUUUAUAAUUACUAAUUUAAACUAUGUGUAUUGUUCCGCGUCUUAACAAAAAUAUUAUGAGUUUUGCAUAAACCACUCAAAACAAAUUCAGAUUUGUUGGAGAUAAAUUCAAUCCUUUAAAUAUAGACGAAUUAUGUGCUUGUACGUGACAUCUAUGGCUUUUUUAUAUGUACAGUCGAUAACACCGUAUUUUGACCCCUUUUAUGGAUCGUUUUUAAAUAUAUAUUUUUUAAGUGUUUUUAUUAUGGUUUUCUAGUAUUUGUAGUUUCAAGACUCUUUUCAGGAAAUUUAGGUAAAAGCUUUGCAAAAUGGAUAAAAAAUCAGAUUUUUACCUCAGAGUCAAACCGUCAGAAGUAUACCCUCAAAUGAAGACCUUCUCACUAUCUGAUCCAGCUCAAAUUCAGAGAUCCUAAAGAUGGAGCAACUAGCUUUUCAACACAUUUGACACUAGGACAAUCCAAUGGUUCAAUCAAAAGUUACGUGAAAAGCAAGAUGUCCAGUCAAUCAGCCGGCCAGCAUUCCUGACCACUGCCAGCAAGCAAUUUCCACCGGUCGUGUGCCCUCUGACCGCGGAGAAUACACUGCUCAACCAAGAAGCCCAUUUCCAAGCCAAAUCGAUUUUCUCUUUUGGAGAAACCCUAAGUGACGUCCAGAAAUUACUUGAAGACUAUAAAUACUUGUCUUAGGAACCCUAGGUCAUAUGUUUUUAGUGUUUUUCAUCAAUCUCAUUCUUUAGAGUUGUGUUUUUAAUACUUUUAGCUUUUAAGUCUAGGGAGAAUGAGAUCUAUCUCGUGAACCCUUUUUGUUUCUUUUCAAUAUCAUUUUCUAUUCAUUAUUUCAAUACCAUGUUUUUGCUUUCUUUAAUCAUGUCUGAAUAAUUUACAUGUUGGGUUUAAGGGAAUUUUUGAUGGGGAUCAUAUAUGUUCGAUGAGGAUUGCAUGAGCUACUAAGCUGAAUCCUAUAAAUUUUUUUCCUAAACUUAUUUUUAAUGCAUGGGAGUAGAAUCAUGAACUAAAUUUGAUUUAGGUUUGUAGUGUUGUAAAAUUUUUCAUUAAAGACCAUAUCCAGUUUGAGAAGAGCAAUUAUGCCAUAGGAGUGAAAACCUACCUAUGGGUGAGUUGUGAAUGUAUAUAAGUCUAAUGCAAGAUUGUGUACACUCGCUUCCGGGCCCAGAGUGGAAACCUACUGGUCAGGGUCGUUGGUGACAGUUGGUUGUGAUCACGACAGUGACGUAGUCAUACCUUCGAGCUCAAGAUCUGAAAGUUUUAGCUAGGAUCUUUUAAAUUAUUUUUUUAGCAAUGUUUUGAAUCGUUCAUACCCCAGAUAAUUUUUCUCAAAAUCCAGCGUCUCGUUUUCAUAAAUCUUACAUUGAUUUUAUUUCAAGCUUUUAGUAUUAUGUUACUUCUUCUUUCCAGCCGAUUUUUACUAUGUUAUUAGGUCAUUUUUAGUUCUCGUUUUAAUCGCUUCUUCUUUUUCCCGUUUAGUUUACGAUUUAGUGACACCCCAAAACCCCUUUUAAAUAUCGAUUAGUUUUAGACUUCUUUGCCUUAAUCUCUUUCAAAAAUGUUUGCAGAAAAUAUCAUCUUUCCCUGUAAAUCUGAUCCCUAAGUACUAAAAUCGAUUAAAUGUGCAUUUACGGCUUUAAUUGAUUCUAUUAGGGUAAAACUUGCCGCCCACACCACACGCACAUCAACGGUUCCCCUAGGCCAAAUUAGGUUUCAUAUUGAGUUUAUAGCACCAAGCCUCGAAUCCAACAGAUUCGGGAAACCGGCCAUGAAAGGUCACGUGCUCCUGGAUUUCUCGUACCUUAUAGAGAAUGUCACGCUAUCAGGAACAAGGAAGUCAAGAACUUAGUAGUCAAGAGGAAGAGAGGUUUCAUUUCUUAUAUCCUAGACCUAAAUUUAAUGAUCUGGAAGGGUCGGAAUCUAAGGAAGAGUAAUCCACAUCAAAAAACAUCCCUCUAUUGUGUUUGUUUGGGAUUUCACGUAUUUCUUGUGUUUUGUAUGAGAUUUGCCCCAAAAACACCAAAAAUUCCCUAAAUCAUGUUUUAGAAUUGAAAACAAAGUACAGUCUAUCAGGCAAAACUCGUUGCUACGUACAAACUUAUAAUUCAUUUGGACUAAAUGUCGCAAAAGAAACAAAUUAAUUUUAAUAAUCUGAAAAUAUUGAAUUCUAGUUACAAAUAUGUGUUAUGUAAUUUUAAAUAAAAUAAUAACUAUGAUUCUUUAUAUUAUGUUUUUAUUUAUUCAUUUAUAUAUAAUGCAGCAACAUUACUUUUUUCAUUGCAAACUAGUGUACCACUUUAUUAUACAUAAGAAAAUCUAUGUUUUGAUAGUGUAAUCUUGGGCCACUCAAAUCGAAAGUGUUGUUUGUUUUUAUGGUCGCUACAAGAAAUUUUUGGUAUCAGUGUUGAGUGGUUUAAAAUUCUUUAACAAAAUAAAAUCCAAAAUUUUGGUUUGGACUAUACCGUUUAAGAUUCGUUGUGCACUAACAACAACAAUUACAUCUAGCCUAUAGUAAAAACAAAACAAACUAAAUGGAACUGGAGAUUUCGAAUUGAAAAUAGUCUGAACUUUAAGUGCAGAAAUUAGCAGAUAAUAAAGAAUAAUUAAGGGGAACCAUAUCUUAUUUAGUGGAUAUGCGCAUGAUAUCAAAUGUUAAUAAAAAAAGGUUUGUCCCAAAAUAAUUAAUUAGAAAGUAUCAAAAGGGGAGAUUCGCAACAGGCCCAGUCCACCUGAAAGGGACCCCAAGUCCGUACAGUCUGACUUGGAUAGGUGUAGAUCUUGUAAAAUUGUUGGCCACAUGGCGUUCACGACGUGUUCCUAUCAGAAACUUUGUGAUUUUUCAACCACCUAAUGUAACAUAAUUUCAACUCAAAAUCAAUUCAAAUGAAUAAAUAAGUUCAUAUAUUUUAUGUAAAUUUUAAUUUUUUGAGAUGAUAGUUUUUUAGCCAUUGAUCUUAGUAUAUUCCAGAAUGGAUCAAUUAUAUUAAUAUUGAAUCUAAUCGAGUUUGAUGGAUUUAAGUUUAACUCGGAUUGAAGGUGGAUCCAACUAACAAUAUAGACCAAAUUUUAAUAUAACUAGGAGAAAAUCUGCGCGUAUUCGCGGAUUUUGUUUUAAUUUAUAUUUAAAUAGUACAUUUUUAAAAUUUGUAUUGAAUUUUAUGUUUAUUAUCAAUAUUUUUGUGUUUAAAAUAUUUAUAUUUUCGAUUUCUUUUUGAUGAUACAUUAUUUGUAAUCUCUUAUACACCGUUUGUGCCAAAUAGUCUAAUUUUUCUCCCAAAAUAAUAAGAGACUAAAAAUCUACUAUUUUAAUUUUUGUAUAAAACGUAAUAAUACACUUAAAAAUAUAUGUUGAAUAUCAGAGAGAAAUAUUUAUUUGUUCUUCGAUCUUCAUAUUCUUUUUAUUCUUGUAAAUCUUACUAAUAUAAUACUUGUUAACUUUUUUAAUUUAUCAUUUUGAAUUUUUUAGUUAUAUAUAUUUUAUUGAUUCUAUUUUUUAUUUUUUUUAAAAACCAUGUAUGAUAUUUUUAUAUGCACACUUUUCUUUAUACUAUUAUUUUUUUAAUAAUUUUUAUCUCUUUAAUCGUUUAUUAAAUAUUUUUUUAUAUUUUAUAAUUUAUUAGUUGAAGUUUUAUAUAAGAAUAUUUAAAACUUCUUAAUUUAUUCAGUCUCAAUUUUUUUUUCAUUUGCAUUAAAAUUUAGUAUAUUUUUAGGUUGAAAAUAAAAUUUAAAUCAUUUGAAAGAAGAAAAUAGAAUAGUGCAUUUAAAAAUUUUUGUAUUAUAUAAUAUUUAUAAGUUUUUCUAUAUUUAAAUUAAAUUUGAAUUGCAUUCUAAUGUGUAUAUAUAUAUAUUAAUAUUUAUUUAUGUUUUUAAUGUGUUUUGCUUUAAAUGUAAUUAAUUAUUUAAUUUAUCAAUUUUGGAUGUACCACAUGUCGCUCUCUCCAUUGCUGAUGUGUCAGUCAGCUGAAGAAAAUUGAUUGUCUUUUAUAUAUAAGAUAUUAAGUUACAUGAAUUUUUAAUUUAAAACCAAUUAGUAAUAAAUAAAUUAGUUCACAUUAUUAUUUUAUUUUUUAAUUUCUGAUGUAGGAUAUAAUUGCUCUGCGCAGAUUUUGUUUAACAUAAUAUUUUAUAAAUAUAUUUAUAUUGAUAUAUAUAUACAUAAUUAAUUAUAGUAUGAUAAUUUGCUUGAUUGUUUGGUAUUAGUUUUUUUAAAACAAAAUCUUUAUUAAAUAAAUAAUUUUUUUUAGGAUUAGAGGUAGGAUAAUUAGGGAAAAUGAUCUACCAUUUUAGAAAUUAUAACCAUGAUAUGAGUAAAAAAAAAACAGAGAUAAAAGUCACAUUUUUUGGGUUAAUUUGCUUGAAAACAUAUAAUUAAGAUUUAGGUUGUCAUGAGUUUAGAGAUAACCUGCGGAAUAAUGGAAUUGUGUUUUUAAACACGCAGAUUUUUCGCAACCUCUUUAAACCGACUUAACAUAUAUCUAGAGCAAGCUCCAAGAUCAUAAAAUCAAAUUUAAUUUGUUUUUUUUUAUUUUUAGUGAGAUUGAAUUUUUCUAGCAGAACAUCAGGACUAAAAAAUUGAAAACAACAUCUUUUCUUAGAUGAAAAACUUAAAAAACGAAAAAGAUGAAAAGAUAUGAUUGAAAAUAUAGAUGUUUCUUGAAAGAAAAACUGAUGCAAUUUCUUAUAUGAAAUUUAAAUUUAAUAAAUUGAGAAUUAGAAUAAAUGCCAUUAAGUUUUUUUUAAAAAUGGACACUUCUAGAGUACUGAUAUGGCGAGCUGUGGGAAAUGAUUCACCUUUUUUCAUAUAUAUGAUUAUUUUCUGAGAUCAUAAUUCUGAGAUUCACUUCAAAAAUUUAGAUAGUAAAAGUAUCAGAUAUCAUAGCAAGGUUGUUCAGAUCCGGAUUAAUCUACAAUUAAAAUGAUUCACUUGAAGUUUUAUAGAAACUUAUAAAGAUUUUCAUCUUUUAAAAAAAAAAUUCAAAAAUUGCUUUCUCAAAUAGAAACAAUGAACGUUGUUCACACGUAAAAAAAUUAUAAAAACUUGAGAAUUGAAAAUUUGUUAUCAUUUUCAAAGGUAUGUGUCAUCGGUGAGUUUUUUUUUUCUAUUAUCAAUUUAUGGAUAUUUCUGAAAGAUUAACUAACAAAAAUGUGUAAACAAGGGAUAUUCUAUCACUUUAGGUUAUCCAAGUUUUUAAAGCUGUAGAAGAACAACCAAAACGGAGUAAAAAUGGCUCAGGUGAGGUGGAGCGAUAGGCCCAAAGGUCACAUGACAAACCAAUGGUGGUUUCAAAUUUUCAAUGAAAGUGCACCAAAGGGACACUCCUUGCCACGUGAUCGGUGGGCUCAUAGGGUAGAGCCAUGGACCCUCCUCUAUUCUGGUCCCUCUCCUCUAUUCGAUGGAAAUUUUAAUAUAAUUUUAUAUAAUCGAAUUUUUAUUGUUUUUUUUUUAAGAAAAAAUUCACUUUCAGUUAAAUUUAAACUGAAAGGUUUCAAAGAAACCCCGCAGGAUUACAACACUAAUUUUUCAAAUCAAGCACAAUGAUCUGCAUACCAGAAAAUGAAGGAAUUACUAAGCUAGCAACAAAAAACAACAAACUCAAAACAUAGAGAACCAAGAAGUUAGAACUUAGAAGUGAGACUGUUGAUGGAGUAUUUGGCUGAGCUCGCGACAACGGAUCGAGUCUACAACGAAUUGUUUGCUUGAUCGCUGUAAUGAUUGCAGAUGCCAGAGUUGAGGUGGAUGUGUGAAGUCUUGCAUUUCGUUCCCUCCAUAUCCCGUAUAAGGAGGCUUGAAAAACAAGUCUUAAAAUCAGAGAGGUGUUACCAUCGCGAGAAGGAGAGAUAAAUCAAAGCAGACAAUAAAUCUGCAGGAGGAGUUACACUUGCCGCAGAAUAGAAUGUGUGUAGUUUUUCAUUUUUUCAUUUUUUUUUUGUUUGAUUUUGUUUUGGAAAAGUUUUUCAUGUGAUGGUUAAAUUUAACAAAUAAAAAUAAAUUUUAAUUUAUAGAUAAUUACAAUUUAUGCUUUUCAAAUUUACGAAUAAAUUUCUGCAUAUUUUUUAACUUCUACUAUUGAUAUUAUCAAUAUAUCGCAAAUCAAAUAUGAAUUUGUUUUUUUACAUAAAUCGAAUAUGAUCAUUUAUUAUAGUUUUUUAGAAGAUUAAAAAUAUAUCAAUCACACUAAUUUUUUUUACAGUUUUUUUAACAUUAAUAAUAUAUUGAUCUCUUUUGUCAAAAAAUAUAUUGAUUUCAUUUAUUAUACAUAUCACACAUCAAAAUAGAUAAUAACAUUGUAUAGAAAUGAUAGUAGAAGCUCAUUUGUCCAAUGAUUGAUGAAUGAUUUAUUACUGCUUUAACAUUGAGAGAUUUGAGUUUCAAAUCUCAAAAAAUAUUCUAACGUGUGUAAAAUUAUCGAUGUAAUAAUUUUUAUAAUUUAUAAUAAAAUAAUAGAUCAUUGUUAAUAUAUAUAUAUAUAUAUAUAUAUAUAAAUAUGAUAUAGAUCCUUCCACUUAUUAGUUAUUAGUUACCUUCCACUUAGAGCAGGUCCAACGCGGGGUUCAUGAAAGUUUAUAAGUGGGGUCAUAACCCAUAAUUGAUUUAAAAUAAAUCAAAAAGUCCAAAAUUGUUAUGAACCGCUCCUUUAGAAAGGAUUUUUAGAGACGGUUUAAGAGGGGUUCAUAUGCUACGUGUCAACAAUUUAUUGGCUAGGAUAUUUGUUUUUUCUUCUCUUCUUCUCUUCUUCCUCUGCUUGCGGGGUCAAUUUCAGAGGAACAAACAAUCAUUCCCUCUCUUCUUCUCCAUCUUCUUCUUCAUCUCAUCAACUCUUCUCCUUCUCUUUCUCUCUCCCCCGACGGCAUCUCCCUACUCUCUCUCAAAUCCGCCGUCGAUCAAUCUUCCAUCGCCUCCUUCUCCAUUUUCUCCGAUCGAAACGAUAACGACUCCGAUGCUUGCCAUUGGUCCUGUAUCUCCUGUAUGAACAUCUCCGACUCCUCCGGCUUUCGCGUCGUCGGAAUCUCACUCGCCGGAAAGCGUCUCCGCGGUUAUAUCCCCUCGGAGCUCUGCUCGCUAAUCUACCUCUACGGGAACAAUCUCUCUGGUUCUCUGCCUCCUUCGAUCUGUACCCUUCCUCUGCUUCAUAGUCUCUUCUUCCUCUGCUUGUGGAUUCAUUUUGAUUGUGUUAUCAGUGAUGAUAACUUAUCAGAACUUGUUGGUUUGAAUCAGAAUAGUUUUCGUAUGUUUUCUCUAUGUCUAAUAUCAAUUAUAAACCCCACAUAAGAAGUUCACCAUUGGAAGAACAAAUUUAGGAGUUCUAGCUUUUUAUUUCUGAAAAUUUUAAUAAUAAAAUAUUAUGGAUGAACUCUAUGAAGAGUUCACCAUUGUGGAUGCUCUUAUCUUUUAUUACUAUUCAAUGUUAGAGUUAACAACUCAUAAUCUUAUGUGAACAAGAGUUAAUCAGUUUACUUAAAACUCAACUGGUACACGAA